AUUCUCAGGGCGGGGUGAAAUUCCCCACCGGCGGUAUACUUUAAAUUUAAGUGAGCCCGCGAGCGCUUUAACGUUGGUUAAAGGUCAGCAGAUCUGGUGAGAGGCCAGAGCCGACGGUGAUAGUCCGGAUGAAAGAGAAUA
This 141-nucleotide non-coding RNA is filed under the name Pseudoalteromonas gelatinilytica. Its description in RNAcentral is "FMN riboswitch (RFN element)". It matches the Rfam family "FMN riboswitch aptamer (RFN element)". From Rfam's summary of the family: The RFN element is a highly conserved domain that is found frequently in the 5'-untranslated regions of prokaryotic mRNAs that encode for flavin mononucleotide (FMN) biosynthesis and transport proteins. Lineage: Bacteria; Pseudomonadati; Pseudomonadota; Gammaproteobacteria; Alteromonadales; Pseudoalteromonadaceae. The record is from RNAcentral.